AUAAACGCUGGCGGCGCACAUAAGACAUGCAAGUCGAACGGAAGUCGUAAUAUAAAAUGAGUGAAGAUUUAUCUGAGUGAAUUUAAAUUACAAUGGCUUUAGUGGCGGACUGGUGAGUAAUGUAUAAGUAACCUGCCUAUUAGAGGGGAACAACAGUUGGAAACAGCUGCUAAUACCGCAUAUGCCAUAAGAAUCGCAUGGUUCAAGUGGGAAAGGAGCAAUCCGCUAAUAGAUGGACUUAUAUCUGAUUAGCUAGUUGGUGGGGUAACGGCCUACCAAGGCGACGAUCAGUAGCCGGACUGAGAGGUUAAACGGCCACAUUGGGACUGAGAUACGGCCCAGACUCCUACGGGAGGCAGCAGUCGGGAAUAUUGCGCAAUGGAGGAAACUCUGACGCAGUGACGCCGCGUGCAGGAAGUAAGGUUUUCGGAUUGUAAACUGCUUUAGACAGGGAAGAAACAAGACAGUACCUGUAGAAUAAGCUCCGGCUAACUACGUGCCAGCAGCGGC
Molecule: ribosomal RNA, 510 nt
Filed under: uncultured bacterium
Lineage: Bacteria
Description: bacterial SSU rRNA
Rfam family: Bacterial small subunit ribosomal RNA
Source: RNAcentral